GCCAGGCUUGGUGGCACAUGCCUGUAAUCCAGGUGACUCAGGAGGUUGAGGCAGGAGGAUCGCAUAUUCAAGGCCAACCUCAGGUACUUAGGAUAACCUGCCUCAA
RNAcentral lists this small RNA (106 nucleotides) under Marmota monax (woodchuck). Lineage: Eukaryota; Metazoa; Chordata; Mammalia; Rodentia; Sciuridae. The record is from RNAcentral.